This 1255-nucleotide ribosomal RNA is filed under the name Gnathopogon elongatus. RNAcentral describes it as "partial 16S ribosomal RNA". It matches the Rfam family "Bacterial large subunit ribosomal RNA", at positions 686 to 2591 of the family's 2925-position model. The record is from RNAcentral. Lineage: Eukaryota; Metazoa; Chordata; Actinopteri; Cypriniformes; Gobionidae.
AAAGAGACCUUUAGUUUGAAACCCCGAAACCAGGUGAGCUACCCCGAGACAGCCUAAGUAAUUUAGGGCUAACCCGUCUCUGUGGCAAAAGAGUGGGAAGAGCUCCGGGUAGAAGUGACAGACCUACCGAACCUGGUGAUAGCUGGUUGCCUGAGAAAUGGAUAGAAGUUCAGCCCCGUAUGCCCCGUACCAAAAACAUCAUUUUAAGAUUUAGGGAAACUUAUGGGAGUUAGUUAAAGGGGGUACAGCCCCUCUAACAAAGGAUACAACCUUUACAGGAGGAUAAAGAUCAUAAUAUUUAAAACACACUGUUCUAGUGGGCCUAAAAGCAGCCACCUAAACAGAAAGCGUUAAAGCUCAGACAGAAAGAAGUUUAUUAUAAUGAUAAAAAAUCUUAUUCCCCUAAUAGUAUCAGGCUAUUCCAUGCUCACAUGGAAGAGAUUAUGCUAAAAUGAGUAACAAGAAGACUUGAUCUUCUCCAAGCACAAGUGUACACCAGAUCGGACCAACCACUGGAAAUUAACGAACCCAAACAAAGAGAGUAUUGUGAAUUAUAUAAAAACCAGGAAGACCCCACAAUUAAAUAAUCGUUAACCCCACACUGGAGUGCUAUAAAUUAAGGAAAGACUAAAAGAAAGGGAAGGAACUCGGCAAACAUAAGCCUCGCCUGUUUACCAAAAACAUCGCCUCCUGCAAACAAAUUAAGUAUAGGAGGUCCAGCCUGCCCAGUGACUACGGGUUCAACGGCCGCGGUAUUUUGACCGUGCAAAGGUAGCGCAAUCACUUGUCUUUUAAAUAGAGACCUGUAUGAAUGGCUAAACGAGGGCUUAACUGUCUCCCCCUUCCAGUCAGUGAAAUUGAUCUAUCCGUGCAGAAGCGGGUAUAAUUAUACAAGACGAGAAGACCCUUUGGAGCUUAAGGUACAAAAUUCAACCACGUUAAACAACUAAACAAAGAGGGGGAACUUAGUGGGACCUGAAAUUUUACCUUCGGUUGGGGCGACCGCGGAGAAAAAAUCAGCCUCCGAGUGGAAUGGGCCAAAACCCUAAAACCAAGAGAAACAUCUCUAAGCCGCAGAACAUCUGACCAUUAAUGAUCCGGCCAAACAGCCGAUCAACGAACCAAGUUACCCUAGGGAUAACAGCGCAAUCCUCUCCCAGAGUCCAUAUCGACGAGAGGGUUUACGACCUCGAUGUUGGAUCAGGACAUCCUAAUGGUGCAGCCGCUAUUAAGGGUUCGUUUGUUCAACGAUUAA